Molecule: transfer-messenger RNA, 352 nt
Filed under: Rariglobus hedericola
Lineage: Bacteria; Pseudomonadati; Verrucomicrobiota; Opitutia; Opitutales; Opitutaceae
Description: Standard tmRNA
Rfam family: transfer-messenger RNA
About the family: Bacterial tmRNA, also known as 10Sa RNA or SsrA, is named for its dual tRNA and mRNA-like properties. Its role is to liberate the mRNA from a stalled ribosome. To accomplish this part of the tmRNA is used as a reading frame that ends in a translation stop signal.
Source: Rfam by way of RNAcentral
GGGGGUGUUCUGGAUUCGACCUUUGGUUGGAGUGCGCCGCUGCCCUUUAAGAGUGAAAGCCUCUUGUUAAUCCCCUUUCAAAAAAACAAACGGCAACAACGAAGAAAUGCCCCUCGCUGCCUAAGUGCAGUGACGUCCGCCUAGUGAUAUCUGCUAGCUAACGUGGACGACGACAGCAGACAUAACAUCGGGAGCCAUCCGCGGGCCUGGUGUCGUAUCUUCACCCGGGGAUUGGCUUGUGUUUAAGCGCGGUUGGUCGCGUAACACCGGCGAGAUAAAUACCAGCACAUAAGGGUAGACGCGGUGUGCGAAGGCCGAAGGGACCCGGGUUCAAAUCCCGGCACCUCCACCA